Cyanistes caeruleus (blue tit) is the source of this 664-nucleotide long non-coding RNA. RefSeq lists it as uncharacterized. The record is from RefSeq and is a predicted model, not a curated record. Lineage: Eukaryota; Metazoa; Chordata; Aves; Passeriformes; Paridae.
AGGACUUUCUCACAGCUUAGCAGUUCUCCAAGAUGUCUGCACCAAUUUCAGCUUGCAUGGAAACUGUUUCUUAGCUCCCAGAUGACAUCUGUGAUCUGAUGCCUGAAUCUCUACAGGGGAGACUGACACUCUUCAGCUGCUAAAUUACACAAAGGAAACAGGAGUAAUUUUAUCCUACCAUUAGUUCUCUACAUAUGCUGUGAUCCUACCUGCAUAAGAGAUGUUGGGCAGUUAGGUCUUAGAGAAUGGGGCCUAGGUGUAGUUGUGAAGGGAAAAGACACCCUUAAUUAAAAUUAAAAGGAAAUUGCCUUUGGACAAUUCUCUCUCCUUAGAGCUGACCAAAAUGUUCCCAAAUAUUGUCAAAACUUGUCUGAUUUCUCACACAAAAAUGUAAAAAAUCAUCUUCCUGGUUUUCAGUGCACUUUCCACAGUAGGGAUUUCUUUUCCUUGCUUGAAGCACAAUAAAGGCUAUUCUGAGACUUAAGCAGCACACCCACUGCUCAAUUUUUUCUCAAAACUGUGUCCUAAAAAUAGUCAUCCAUUUCACCUGGGAGCUAAGCAGGUGCAAGUACAUUCAUGAGCUGUCCUGAAGGAACACAUGAAUGGCUGUCAGCAAAAGCAGCAGUCAGACUUUUUUUGCAAGGAAUCACAGAAUAUGCUGAGG